UUCACCUUCUCUGGCGUUACAGCGUCCUCCCACGCUCACGCCCGGAGGCGACACGGGCCCACAACAGGACAGGGAACCCCCCUGUCGGUUCCCCCACCCCACCCCCGAACACGGUGAACGCGGGCCGGCCUGGACAUUCGGGGCGACGAAAACGAAAGUACGACCGAGACCACAGGCAGCUGGGAAAACAGGCGAAUCAAUCGCUCACGGGAAACAAAGAGCGUGUCUGACCGUUCAUCGGUGACAGGACUAGGUGGGGGGCCAGGGGCUUCUGCCACAAUUAGGCCAUGUUUCAUGUACAUUGGUGUUUAGCCUGCACGUAUGUCUAUAAGAGUGUUGGAUGUUGGAUUCCCCUGGACUGGACUUGGAGACAAUUGUGAGCUGCCAUCAACAGAACCCUGAUUAAGGCAUUAGAUUGGCCUUGUUGGAGGAAGUGUGGUCAAGACACAGCCUCAUGUCCAUCCACUUCCUGCUGCCUUCUAAUCAAAUUGUAGCCAGCACCAUGUGUGUCUGUAUGCCAACAUGCUUCUGCCGUGAUAAUGAACUAAACAUUUGAAAAUAUUCAAAUAAAUAAAUGUUUUCCUGUAAAA
Long non-coding RNA from Chionomys nivalis (European snow vole), 590 nucleotides. RefSeq lists it as uncharacterized. The record is from RefSeq and is a predicted model, not a curated record. NCBI's taxonomy places the organism in Eukaryota, Metazoa, Chordata, Mammalia, Rodentia, Cricetidae. The transcript has 3 exons.